This is a long non-coding RNA of Zalophus californianus (California sea lion), 3112 nucleotides long. Lineage: Eukaryota; Metazoa; Chordata; Mammalia; Carnivora; Otariidae. The record is from Ensembl.
CCAGAUACUAAGUGACAAGGGGCCGGGGCGGGAGCGGGGGGGGGGGGGAGCCCUGCGGGGGCGUGCAAGAGGGGUGCAAGUCUGGCUGGAGACAGCACUAUUUAUAUACUCCGGAGCUCCAGGACAAAGCGAGCAGAUCGGAGUCCCCCCGCCCCAGAGCCUCCCUGGCCCCUCCCCAGCGGCUUUGAUUUCAUUACCCCCCCCUCCCCGGGGGCGGGCUGGCAGGUGCGGGGGUGGGAGCCAUCUCUGAGCCAAAGGUCCGGCUGCUGACGUCGGAGCGCCCGCUCCUGUCAAUGAACGGCAGCGGCAGCCUGGGGACUUGUGUGGCAACGAGGCUACAGACGUCAUCGCCUCCUGUUGGACGCGGGGGGUGUCCGAGCUGCAGCUCCGGCUUAAAGGAAAACUCUCCAAGUUCCAGGCAGCCAGGGAGAGUCGUUCCUGAGAGCACAGGCACCCCCGAAUGCCCAGUGUGCGCGGCGCACAGCCUGGCACACGCGCGUACACACGCACACACGCGCGCGCUCACACUCGCACUCAUGUUCUCCCUAGAUGUGCGGGUCCAAACUUGCGGCCGCAGAGAGGAUGAGCUGAAAUGGACCGGUCUUCGUUGGUGCCUAGAGUGCUCCACGCGGCUUCCCUGGAGACCCCCCCGGGGGGGGGGUAGGGAAAGAAGAAUACCACACUCGGUUUAGAGUUGUCUCCCCCUUUCCUGAGAAGAUCUGCGCGAAAUCCAGGGUGCCCGGAGCCUUUGGAAUAUGCCUGCUGAGCGGAGCAGAAGCGAGCGUUCUUGGAGAGGUCCCGAACUUGGGCCACCGGCCUCGCUUGGCAACUUGCUUUGCGCAGUUCUCAAUGGAGCCCUGGACCCACAGUGUUCCUGGCCGGUUGGCUUAUUUUUUCCCUCCGUUCCCCUCUCUCUUUUUUAAACAUACCAACUUGAAACGAAGCGGAGAGCAGAUCCGCACUUCAGCACACUUUGGCGGGGCUCACCCCUCGGAUGCCAGGAGCGGUCACAGUGAAGGGACCCUCAGAACAAGCUCCAGGGCUGAGAGACGAUCUGGAGAAGCCACCCCCUCCUCACUGUUCCGGAGCUGGACAGAACUCCAGGGCUGGAUGGGGGGGAGACCCACGUGGGAGUUUCAGCCACACAGAGCAGGGGGCAGAGGGAAGAGAUGCAGGAAGCUGUCAGUAAGAGAAACACACUCACAGGACUGCAGGAGGACGGGCCUCUGCCCACUAGCACUUUCUAGAGCGUGUGGGACCUCUCUCUCUCUCCGAGAUGUCAUGGGGGGCGGGGGACAAAACUUCAAGUUCCUGCUUUGGCCUCUUCCCAUUAACCCCGGGGUGCUUACUGGUCAGGCCCGCGGGCAGUCUUGGGCUUUGCUGUCCUUCUCAAGGGAGGUAUUUGCGAUACCUGGAGAGUCCACCGCACAGCUCCCUGGGGCUGAUUUCCACCCUUUGGGCUUCUGCCCCUGCCCUGGGAGCCUCAUGCAAGCCCAGAAAAUCAGUGCGUGGCCUUGUGGGCCAGCCUGCGCCAGCUCCCACCUGGAGCAAGGCGGUGGCCAGUUAUAAAUGACUUCUUGAUGUUGCUCCCAGACCUCUGCAAAGCAUCAGACCAUAGCUUCAGCUGAUUCUGCCCACAAGCCAGGAGCCCGUUUUCUAUGUCCUUUCCUAUGUGCCGGGAGCUGCAGUGGCCACGGCUAACUGGCCACCGCUGACAAGGUGAGUGACUUCAAACACCUGUUAUAACUUCAGAAAAUUUCACACCCAGCCCUCUCCCGCCAUCAACUCAAGACCUACUCACAGAGUAAUUCAAACCCUAGCAUCAUCCGGGCAUCGUCUCCCUGCCCUCCCUUCCUCUCUGCGGCACUGUCCUCGCAAGGGGGCCCGGGGACCGCGCGUCCUGCCAUAGUCAGGCUCCAGACACUGGCCGCGGAAUUCAGUUUCCCUCCAACGGAUGUGGCUCCUUCGACGGCUUCCAAAUUGGACAGAGCCCACGCUGAGACUUUUGUGUUCCAUCUUCACAACAUUCCAGUGAGCUGUGAAGACAAAGCUUUUUAUGGAGAUGGAGAAGCAGCUUUUCCCAGAACCCUAAUUCCCAGCAAGGAGGCUCUUGCCAUCCAAAGAAGCUAGAAACCUGGGAGAGUCCCCUUAAAGAGAUUCUCCGUGGAUCAGGAGCCAAAAUGAUAGCGUGAGUGGGGAAAAUUUGCAGUGGGAUUUUACUUUGAAAAAUUAAAGUAAAUCAUUAUAUUUUCUAUUCUAAAAAGUUAGGUGCUAGUUUCAAUUACAGUUUAAUUCUGACAGUUUUCCUUACUCUUGGCCAAUGACCUCCCCCUAUCAUUUAUUGCUGUAAUAGAAUAGAAUUCAUCACAGAGACUUGCCGGUCUUGUCCCCAACCUGCACAAUCCACGGCCCUAGAGGUCCCUCCGUCCGCUUCGGUUAAGACGGAGGACACCCGUUUGCCUUUCCCCUGGGCUCAGGACCCUGUCCCCUUUCUCUGUUCAAAGAUUUUGUCUCCCACCAGUUAUUCCCUGUACUUGACCAUUCCCUUCAGCAUAAAGCAUUGCUCAGGUGUUUUCCGGCUUUAAUAAAACAACUCUCCUAAGUCCCACAGUCACCUGCUGUGACUGUUGCUGGCGUCUCUGCUCCCCUCGGCGGCGGCAGACAUUCCCGUUCCCACAUCCUCAGGCUCCCUGCACAGCCCUUCCGUCAGCCUUCCGUCUCUGCACCCCACAAAACCAUCCUCGUGGAACUCUGUCUCUGUCUCCCAAAUCCAGGGGUCAUCGCUUCACGCUCCCUGUGCCUCCUUGACAACAUUUCAGCAGAGCUGCCCACUUUCUCCUCUCUGAGGGGGCUCGUCUCCUGACUCCUCUGAUACCUCACCUCCUGGCUCCUUCCCUUUCCUCGUGUUCUCAGACCUCUGUGUCUGCUCGCUGUUGGGGUAUCCAGGGCUCUAGCCAUACUUUCUCCCCAGGCGAUCUCAUCCAAGAUAAUGGUUUUAAAUAUUAUCUUUACAAAAGUGAUUUCCAAAGUUUGGCCUCCACCUUUCAUAUUUCCAAUGAGUACAAGACUAUGGUAACCAACGGUUUUCUGGACCUCUCCACGUGGAUGUCUC